RNAcentral lists this ribosomal RNA (878 nucleotides) under uncultured bacterium. Its description in RNAcentral is "bacterial SSU rRNA". It matches the Rfam family "Bacterial small subunit ribosomal RNA", at positions 8 to 899 of the family's 1533-position model. The record is from RNAcentral.
AGAGUUUGAUCCUGGCUCAGGACGAACGCUGGCGGCGUGCUUAACACAUGCAAGUCGAGCGGAAAGGCCACUUCGGUGGUACUCGAGCGGCGAACGGGUGAGUAACACGUGAGUAAUCUGCCCCUGGCUUUGGGAUAGCCACCGGAAACGGUGAUUAAUACCGGAUACGACAACUUCUUGCAUGAGAUGGUUGUGGAAAGUUUUUCGGCCAGGGAUGUGCUCGCGGCCUAUCAGCUUGAUGGUGAGGUAAUGGCUCACCAUGGCUUCGACGGGUAGCCGGCCUGAGAGGGUGACCGGCCACACUGGGACUGAGACACGGCCCAGACUCCUACGGGAGGCAGCAGUGGGGAAUAUUGGACAAUGGGCGGAAGCCUGAUCCAGCAACGCCGCGUGAGGGAUGACGGCCUUCGGGUUGUAAACCUCUUUCAGCAGGGACGAAGCGCAAGUGACGGUACCUGCAGAAGAAGCACCGGCCAACUACGUGCCAGCAGCCGCGGUAAUACGUAGGGUGCGAGCGUUGUCCGGAAUUAUUGGGCGUAAAGGGCUCGUAGGCGGUUUGUCGCGUCGGGAGUGAAAACCAGGUGCUUAACACCUGGCUUGCUUUCGAUACGGGCAGACUAGAGGUAUUCGGGGGAGAACGGAAUUCCUGGUGUAGCGGUGAAAUGCGCAGAUAUCAGGAGGAACACCGGUGGCGAAGGCGGUUCUCUGGGAAUGACCUGACGCUGAGGAGCGAAAGUGUGGGGAGCGAACAGGAUUAGAUACCCUGGUAGUCCACACCGUAAACGUUGGGCGCUAGGUGUGGGGUCCAUUCCACGGAUUCCGUGCCGCAGCUAACGCAUUAAGCGCCCCGCCUGGGGAGUACGGCCGCAAGGCUAAAC